Monomorium pharaonis (pharaoh ant) is the source of this 3017-nucleotide long non-coding RNA. RefSeq lists it as uncharacterized. The transcript is spliced from 2 exons. The record is from RefSeq and is a predicted model, not a curated record. Lineage: Eukaryota; Metazoa; Arthropoda; Insecta; Hymenoptera; Formicidae.
CUGGGGGGGGGCAAGGCUUUGUCGCCAAAAAUCCUUUUAGGGGCUUUCUUCUCUAAUCAAGGGUAAACUUUGGUUAAAAUUUCAGCGCGAUCGGAGGUUUACGCUUUUCGGAACUGUACCCUUUAGUUGUAAAUACAUAAUCAACGUGUUGGCAUUUUGCAUACGCGGAAAACUCUUUGCUGCUACGAGUAAGUAAAUUCGUGUCUACAUUAUUAUGGUACAUCCAUCUAUUUAACAAUAUAUGUUGAUAUGUUAAAUGACAGAUAUAUAUCAGAUUUAUCUUUGUCUCUGUUUCUCGUACUGUAUAUAUAGCAAAUAUAAUAUGACAAUAGUACUAGAACAUUAACAUGCUUACAUGUUACUAUCAUGCAUCGAUUUAUGAGCUCGGAAUGUAGUUCACAAUCAAUCAUCACGCGUUAACAUUACCCGACAUCACCCGAUUGUCACCAUUAUACUAAUGUGUUCUAUUCUCUACGCGUCGUCGUAAUCGUAACUAUAUAUAACUAUAUAUAACUAUAUAUAACUAUAUAUAACUAACGAAGAAUGUUACUGAACGAAACCAUCAACAAUAAGAAUAAUUCUUGAGGAGAGCUUGAAGAAGAAUACUCGUGAGAUUGUAGAUCGAUUUUAAGUGAACUCCGCAGAGAGAGGGAGAAGUAUCUCCAUUUAAAACGUACAUAUAGUCAGAGUAUGUACAGUAGGAUAGGACAUAUAUACGUAGGUAGGGAUUUUCCACAGAAAAGAUAGGAAAAGAGAAUUUGGCUAGCAGGAUUGUGGGUGGAUUAGGUGGAUACCCUUUAACAAAUUACUUUUAUUCGUCCGCUCAAAAUGAGUCUGAAGUUUUAGGAACAGUCUAAUAUUUUCUUCUCUCGCCUUUACAAAAACUUUCCAAAAGGUACUCAUAAAAAGCAUUCAUCAUCUUAAAUAUCUCCUCGAUUUAAUAGCAGCUACGACAAUUGAAGAUUUUCUUUUUACUUGUGCCAAGUUUCGUGAUAUAAGCUCGUCUAAAACAGUUACAUAUACCGACCAAAAUUAUAUCACCUUUAGGUUUUUUAAGCAUAACUUGUUUUAAAGUGCACGGAUCUUUACCAUAUCAUAAUAUAUUUUGAUGGUAAGUAUACCUUACUGAAGAAAUAACUUUUCAUUAAUUUAUUUGAAAUUUCUGAAAUAAUAAAUUUUGAUUGCAUUAUAACAAAUACAUACAAACGCUUUAAAAAUAAACAACAUAUCCAUAAUUUAUUGUACAACUCUAGUACUUUGUAGCAAAACCUUUGGCACCAAUUACAGCUUGGCAGCGUGACACGAAAAACAAAGAUAACAAAAAUGUGUGAUUUUCACAAAAUUAAUCAAAAAUUUUUAAAUCAUGGUGUACUUUGUCAAAUCUCAUUACACUUCAUGCACAAGGUGUACCUGUUACUAGAUGUCUACUAUAAAAUUUUUAGCGUAUUUGAUGUACCUUGACAAAAGUUAUACUUAAAAAACCUGGUUAUACUUAAAAAAGGUGAUAUUAUUCUAGCCGGUACUGUAUGUAUAUUUAUAAAACAAAAAGUAACAAUAAAUAUCAAAAUGAUUGAACUUAUGUAAUUUUUUUUUUGCGUAAUUACAAUAUUAACACCGGCUUUCCUACAAAAGAUGCGUUUUAUAUGAAAACGGUUCUUAGGGGUUUUUAGGGGCGUCGGUUCCAAAAAAAAAUAUUAAAAUUAAAAUUCAAAGUGAUGGAUUCAAGACGGCGGUUAUAAAAUGGUGAAAUAUCAAUAUAUUUAAAAUAUAAGCGCGAAUUAAAGUUUCUCUUUAAUUACGAAUUUCAAAUGGCGGUUAUAAAAUUACGAAAAAUAAUUUGCAGUUUUAUGAAACAAUCUAGAUUAAAACAAUAUCACAGCCAUACGCACAUGCACAGAUACACGCACACACUCACACGCACAGACAACGCACAGACACGCACACAUACACAUGCAACUUCAAUCUAGAAAUAUAUUUAAAACGAUAAAAAUAUUUUGAAAGUCUGAAAGAAAAAUUAUGCACACUUUGGUUAUACGUAUAAACUAUUACAAUAUUUAUAAUAAAAUUUCUUUUAUUUUUUUCAUAAUUAAAUGAGAUUUCUAAGUAUAUAAUUAGCAUCAAUUCAAUGAAUUUUUGAUAUAUUAUUCUUCACUAUCUAAAAGUUAGAGUUUUCGUAAAGUUUACAUAACUAUAUUUUAUUGAAAACAUAACAUUUUAGAUUGUACGACAAUUUGUACAUAUAGCUUGAUCCUUCCUUUUUAAAAUGAGCGAAGUAAAAUAUGGGUCAAUAGGACUAUUUGUUUAAAAGUUAUGAUGAUUUUUGUAAGUGGGACACAUAUGUCCCAAAGGUACGAAAGGGUUAAAGCAAAUUUAUAAAGUAUUAAUGUGAUACAAUAAAUUGAGAAGAAAGCAUAAAAAUUUUAAUUUAAUGAACUGUAAAAGUAAAUUCUCAUCGCAACUGUACUUCUUCGCAAAGUAGUACAUUAUGUAACAAGAGCGUAAAGUCGGCCUUUUAUGCACGAAUGCGUUCACCAGCACGAGUGCAAAACGCCAUUACGUCCAUGUAUACCAUAUUUUUUUUAUCUGUGCGUCGAUGUAUGGUCCCUUGGGUCCCGAGUAGAAAAUAAUUAGGGAAAUCCUUAUGUAGCAUAAGGCCCCGAUAAGGAUUUAAUAAGGAUGCCAUAAAAAGGGCUACCUUAAUAUUACCACAUCAGGGCCUUAUAAGGUGUUAUUAAGGAUGCCUUAAACUUACUGAGUAAGAUUUUGUUAUGGAAAACUAACAAGGGCCAUACAAGGUGUUAUUAAGGAUGCCUUAGAUUUACUAAGUAAGAUUUUGUUAUGGAAAGCGAAAAAGGGUCUUACAAGAUAUUAUUAAGGAUGCCUUAGAUUUAUUAAAUAAGAUUUUGUUACGAAAAGCUAAUAAGGGCCUUACAAGGUACUAUUAAGGAUGCCUUAGAUUUACUAAGUAAGAUUUGGUUACGAAAAACUAAUAAGGACAAGUCGCAAUAUCGAAAAAA